GCAAACUACGAAUACCGAAGAAUGUUAUCACGGGAGACACACGGCGGGUGCUAACGUCCGUCGUGAAGAGGGAAACAACCCAGACCGCCAGCUAAGGUCCCAAAGUCAUGGUUAAGUGGGAAACGAUGUGGGAAGGCACAGACAGCCAGGAUGUUGGCUUAGAAGCAGCCAUCAUUUAAAGAAAGCGUAAUAGCUCACUGGUCGAGUCGGCCUGCGCGGAAGAUGUAACGGGGCUAAACCAUGCACCGAAGCUGCGGCAGCGACACUAUGUGUUGUUGGGUAGGGGAGCGUUCUGUAAGCCGUUGAAGGUGUGCUGUGAGGCAUGCUGGAGGUAUCAGAAGUGCGAAUGCUGACAUAAGUAACGAUAAAGCGGGUGAAAAGCCCGCUCGCCGGAAGACCAAGGGUUCCUGUCCAACGUUAAUCGGGGCAGGGUGAGUCGACCCCUAAGGCGAGGCCGAAAGGCGUAGUCGAUGGGAAACAGGUUAAUAUUCCUGUACUUGGUGUUACUGCGAAGGGGGGACGGAGAAGGCUAUGUCAGCCGGGCGACGGUUGUCCCGGUUUAAGCAUGUAGGCGGAGGUUCCAGGUAAAUCCGGUACCUUAUUAACGCUGAGGUGUGAUGACGAGGCACUACGGUGCUGAAGUGAUAAAUGCCCUGCUUCCAGGAAAAGCCUCUAAGCAUCAGGUAACACGAAAUCGUACCCCAAACCGACACAGGUGGUCAGGUAGAGAAUACCAAGGCGCUUGAGAGAACUCGGGUGAAGGAACUAGGCAAAAUGGUGCCGUAACUUCGGGAGAAGGCACGCUGAUAUGUAGGUGAAGCCCCUGCGGGCGGAGCUGAAAUCAGUCGAAGAUACCAGCUGGCUGCAACUGUUUAUUAAAAACACAGCACUGUGCAAACACGAAAGUGGACGUAUACGGUGUGACGCCUGCCCGGUGCCGGAAGGUUAAUUGAUGGGGUUAGCGGCAACGCGAAGCUCUUGAUCGAAGCCCCGGUAAACGGCGGCCGUAACUAUAACGGUCCUAAGGUAGCGAAAUUCCUUGUCGGGUAAGUUCCGACCUGCACGAAUGGCGUAAUGAUGGCCAGGCUGUCUCCACCCGAGACUCAGUGAAAUUGAACUCGCUGUGAAGAUGCAGUGUACCCGCGGCAAGACGGAAAGACCCCGUGAACCUUUACUAUAGCUUGACACUGAACACUGGUCCUUGAUGUGUAGGAUAGGUGGGAGGCUUUGAAGCGUGGACGCCAGUCUGCGUGGAGCCAACCUUGAAAUACCACCCUUUAAUGGCUGGUGUUCUAACGUGGACCCGUAAUCCGGGUUGCGGACAGUGUCUGGUGGGUAGUUUGACUGGGGCGGUCUCCUCCCAAAGAGUAACGGAGGAGCACGAAGGUUGGCUAAUCCUGGUCGGACAUCAGGAGGUUAGUGCAAUGGCAUAAGCCAGCUUGACUGCGAGCGUGACGGCGCGAGCAGGUGCGAAAGCAGGUCAUAGUGAUCCGGUGGUUCUGAAUGGAAGGGCCAUCGCUCAACGGAUAAAAGGUACUCCGGGGAUAACAGGCUGAUACCGCCCAAGAGUUCAUAUCGACGGCGGUGUUUGGCACCUCGAUGUCGGCUCAUCACAUCCUGGGGCUGAAGUAGGUCCCAAGGGUAUGGCUGUUCGCCAUUUAAAGUGGUACGCGAGCUGGGUUUAGAACGUCGUGAGACAGUUCGGUCCCUAUCUGCCGUGGGCGCUGGAGAAUUGAGGGGGGCUGCUCCUAGUACGAGAGGACCGGAGUGGACGCAUCACUGGUGUUCGGGUUGUCAUGCCAAUGGCACUGCCCGGUAGCUAAAUGCGGAAGAGAUAAGUGCUGAAAGCAUCUAAGCACGAAACUUGCCCCGAGAUGAGUUCUCCCUGAGACUUUAAGUCUCCUGAAGGAACGUUGAAGACGACGACGUUGAUAGGUCGGGUGUGUAAGCGCAGCGAUGCGUUGAGCUAACCGAUACUAAUGAACCGUGAGGCUUAACCUU
This 2001-nucleotide ribosomal RNA is filed under the name Enterobacter cloacae. RNAcentral's name for it is "bacterial LSU rRNA". It matches the Rfam family "Bacterial large subunit ribosomal RNA", at positions 949 to 2925 of the family's 2925-position model. The record is from RNAcentral. RNAcentral also lists the same sequence under 1 other name. Lineage: Bacteria; Pseudomonadati; Pseudomonadota; Gammaproteobacteria; Enterobacterales; Enterobacteriaceae.